RNAcentral lists this ribosomal RNA (450 nucleotides) under uncultured bacterium. RNAcentral describes it as "partial 16S ribosomal RNA". It matches the Rfam family "Bacterial small subunit ribosomal RNA", at positions 354 to 796 of the family's 1533-position model. The record is from RNAcentral.
GUGGGGAAUAUUGCACAAUGGGCGCAAGCCUGAUGCAGCCAUGCCGCGUGUAUGAAGAAGGCCUUCGGGUUGUAAAGUACUUUCAGCGAGGAGGAAGGCAUUAAGGUUAAUAACCUUAGUGAUUGACGUUACUCGCAGAAGAAGCACCGGCUAACUCCGUGCCAGCAGCCGCGGUAAUACGGAGGGUGCAAGCGUUAAUCGGAAUUACUGGGCGUAAAGCGCACGCAGGCGGUCUGUCAAGUCGGAUGUGAAAUCCCCGGGCUCAACCUGGGAACUGCAUUCGAAACUGGCAGGCUAGAGUCUUGUAGAGGGGAGUAGAAUUCCAGGUGUAGCGGUGAAAUGCGUAGAGAUCUGGAGGAAUACCGGUGGCGAAGGCGGCCCCCUGGACAAAGACUGACGCUCAGGUGCGAAAGCGUGGGGAGCAAACAGGAUUAGAUACCCGAGUAGUCC